RNAcentral lists this ribosomal RNA (641 nucleotides) under uncultured fungus. RNAcentral describes it as "eukaryotic LSU rRNA". The stretch from base 282 to 436 matches the Rfam family "5.8S ribosomal RNA". The record is from RNAcentral. Lineage: Eukaryota; Fungi.
AAGUCGUAACAAGGUUUCCGGUAUGUAUCCUCCCACCUGGAGUCUCGAGAAUCUUUCACUAACAACCAUUAUAGUAGGUGAACCUGCGGAAGGAUCAUUACCGAGUUCGGGUCCUCGUGGCCCAAUCUCCAACCCUUGUGUUUAACUACAACCACGUUGCUUCGGCGGGCCCGCCUCCCCGGAGGCCGCCGGACGUCAUGUCUGGCCCGUGCCUGUCGAUAGCCCAACUCCAAACUCUUGUUCAAACAUGUCGUCUGAGUUACAAACAAAAAAUAAAUCAAAACUUUCAACAACGGAUCUCUUGGUUCUGGCAUCGAUGAAGAACGCAGCGAAAUGCGAUAAGUAAUGCGAAUUGCAGAAUUUCCGUGAGUCAUCGAAUCUUUGAACGCACAUUGCGCCCCUUGGUAUUCCGAGGGGCAUGCCUGUUCGAGCGUCAUUAUCAACCCUCAAGCCUGGCUUGAUGUUGGACCGCGUCACGCCUGUGACCGGCCCCAAAGACAGUGACGGCGUCUGUGGGACCCUCCGUGCAAUGAGUCGUUACCGGCACGCACGCGAGUUUAGGCACCACCGGACCCGGCCUUUUGAAUUAUCAUUUCAUCAAGGUUGACCUCGGAUCAGGUAGGGAUACCCGCUGAACUUAA